This 241-nucleotide small nuclear RNA is filed under the name Pogona vitticeps (central bearded dragon). Its description in RNAcentral is "7SK RNA (ENSPVIG00000006819.1)". The stretch from base 1 to 199 matches the Rfam family "7SK RNA". From Rfam's summary of the family: 7SK was discovered as an abundant small nuclear RNA in the mid-70s but a possible function has only recently been suggested. Two independent studies have found that 7SK RNA binds the CDK9/cyclin T complex (known as elongation factor P-TEFb). The record is from RNAcentral. Lineage: Eukaryota; Metazoa; Chordata; Lepidosauria; Squamata; Agamidae.
GGACGUGAGGUUGAUCUGGCUGCGACAUGUCAGCCCAUUGAUCACCAGGGUUGAUUUGGCUGAUCUGGUUGGCUAGGUGAGCGUCCCCGUCCUCCCUCGCUACUCCAUGUGUGUCCCUCCUGAAGCUCCGUGCUCGGUGGAAGAGGACGACCAUCUCAGAUAGAAGGAGUGUACUAUUCUUCGGACAAGGGUAUAUUCAGUGGAAGAGGACGACCAUCCCAGAUAGCAGUGUUCUAUUCUU